CUCUUGGCAUCUCUACCAGUUGUCUGUCAACACUAUGCCUCGCUGGCUUGUGCUCAUGCAUGUAAUACGAGUUACCAUUUAAGGUUCUUGGCAUCUCUAUCAUUCGUCUGUCAAGACUAUUUUCAUGCUCAUGCAUGUAAUACAAGUUACCAUGUAAGGCUCUUGGCACCUCUACCUUUUGUCUGUCAAGACUAUGCCUCGCUUGUUCAUGCUCAUACAUGUAAUACAAGUUAUCAUUUAUGGUUCUUGGCACCCCUACCACUUGUCUGUCAAGACUAUGCCUCACUUGUUCAUGCUCAUGCUUGUGCUCAUGCAUGUAAGGCAAGUUACCAUUCAAGGUUCUCGGCACCUCUACCAAUUGUC
RNAcentral lists this long non-coding RNA (363 nucleotides) under Gossypium raimondii (Peruvian cotton). Its description in RNAcentral is "long non-coding RNA (GRAI_LNC001102)". Lineage: Eukaryota; Viridiplantae; Streptophyta; Magnoliopsida; Malvales; Malvaceae. The record is from RNAcentral.